AGGAUGAACGCUGGCGGCGUGCCUAAUACAUGCAAGUCGAGCGAACGGACGAGAAGCUUGCUUCUCUGAUGUUAGCGGCGGACGGGUGAGUAACACGUGGAUAACCUACCUAUAAGACUGGGAUAACUUCGGGAAACCGGAGCUAAUACCGGAUAAUAUUUUGAACCGCAUGGUUCAAAAGUGAAAGACGGUCUUGCUGUCACUUAUAGAUGGAUCCGCGCUGCAUUAGCUAGUUGGUAAGGUAACGGCUUACCAAGGCAACGAUGCAUAGCCGACCUGAGAGGGUGAUCGGCCACACUGGAACUGAGACACGGUCCAGACUCCUACGGGAGGCAGCAGUAGGGAAUCUUCCGCAAUGGGCGAAAGCCUGACGGAGCAACGCCGCGUGAGUGAUGAAGGUCUUCGGAUCGUAAAACUCUGUUAUUAGGGAAAGAAACAUAUG
This 442-nucleotide ribosomal RNA is filed under the name Staphylococcus aureus. RNAcentral's name for it is "bacterial SSU rRNA". It matches the Rfam family "Bacterial small subunit ribosomal RNA", at positions 26 to 457 of the family's 1533-position model. The record is from RNAcentral. Lineage: Bacteria; Bacillati; Bacillota; Bacilli; Caryophanales; Staphylococcaceae.